CCGGUUCUUGAUUUUCCAUCUAUGUGGGAGUUCUAUCCACCUGAAGCUUUUCAAUCUCAGCUAUGCGAUUAUACAACCAAGCCAGACGGUUUUCUUGAUUUCCAUAUUGAGCAUUAUUCCAUUGUCUCGGGCCCUUUGCAAUACAACUGAGCUUUUUCAAAAGUCUGAAUCUCUUGGAAGUUCAAUAAAAGCUGUCUGCCAUGAUGAUUGAAGAGUUUCCUGAAACUGAGGAUUAUAUAACCAGCAUUCAAUAAAUCGAAAAGGUUUCCAUCCUUUAUCUUGCUCAUGGUUUCCUACAAUCAAUUGCCCGUGAAUGGAAUCUCUGAAAUGUGAGUGACAUUCAGGCGAAGAAAAUGCUCGAUCGAUACGGCUCAUAGAGCCUCCUCUAAAACAUGUGAAGCUAUGCCCCGUUAAGGCAUGUUCAAUCAAGUUACAAGAAUCUAAAAAUCUUUUCAAGUCAUUAGAACCUGCAGCAUUGAUGAAUCUACUGUUUCCCUCACCCUUGGCCAAAGUCUCAUUAAAG
RNAcentral lists this long non-coding RNA (523 nucleotides) under Populus trichocarpa (black cottonwood). RNAcentral's name for it is "long non-coding RNA (PTRI_LNC003060)". Lineage: Eukaryota; Viridiplantae; Streptophyta; Magnoliopsida; Malpighiales; Salicaceae. The record is from RNAcentral.